RNAcentral lists this ribosomal RNA (2770 nucleotides) under human gut metagenome. RNAcentral describes it as "bacterial LSU rRNA". It matches the Rfam family "Bacterial large subunit ribosomal RNA". The record is from RNAcentral.
AGAGCGCAGGGCGAAUGCCUUGGCACCGAGAACCGAAGAAAGACGUGAUAAGCUGCGAAAAGCUGCGGGGAGGAGCAAAUAUCCUUUGAGCCGCAGAUGUCUGAAUGAGGAAACUCACAUAUCCGAGAAGAUAUGUAUCAUACACUGAAUAAAUAGGUGUAUGAGGGGAACCACCUGAACUGAAACAUCUAAGUAGGGUGAGGAAAAGAAAUCAAAAGAGAUUGCGCAAGUAGUGGCGAGCGAACGCGUAAGAGGCCAAACCGUGAGUAGAAAUACUUGCGGGGUAGAGGACUGCAUAAAGCAUUUACGAAGUUAGCCGAAUGGUGUGGGAAAGCCAUCCGAAGAGUGUGAGAGACACGUAGGCGAAAACGAAGUAGAGCGAGCAGGAUCCGGAGUACCGCGGGACACGAGGAAUCCCGUGGGAAGCAGGGGGGACCACCCUCCAAGCCUAAAUAUUACUCGGUGACCGAUAGAGAAGUAGUACUGUGAAGGAAAGGUGAAAAGGACCCCGGGAGGGGAGUGAAAAAGAACCUGAAACCCUGUGCUUACAAGCACACAGAGCACGUCAAAGUGUGAUGUGGUACUUUUUGUAGAACGGUCCGGCGAGCGAAUGUAUGCAGCGAGGUUAAGCAAUUAAGUUGUGGAGCCGAAGCGAGAGCGAGUGUUAAUAGUGCGAAAAGUUGCAUGCAUUGAGCCCGAAACCAGGUGACCUAACCAUGAACAGGCUGAAGUUGAGGUAAAGCUCAAUGGAGGGCCGAACACACGUCCGUUGAAAAGGCCGGUGAUGAUUUGUGGUUAGCGGAGAAAUUCCAAUCGAACCUGGAGAUAGCUGGUUCUCUCCGAAAUAGUUUUAGGACUAGCCUCAUAUUAGAUUCACGGGGGUAAAGCACUGAAUGGGCUAGGGGCCGAGAGGUUACUGAACCCUAUCAAACUAAGAAUACCGAGGAAUUGAUGUAUGGGAGUCAGACUGUGUGAGAUAAGUUUCAUAGUCAAAAGGGAAACAGCCCAGAUCUACAGCUAAGGUCCCAAAGCAGGUUUAAGUGGAAAAGGAUGUGAAGUUGCGAAGACAGCCAGGAUGUUGGCUUAGAAGCAGCCACUCAUUCAAAGAGUGCGUAAUAGCUCACUGGUCGAGUGACUUUGCGCCGAAAAUUUAACGGGGCUAAAAACCUGCACCGAAGCUUAGGCAUUGCGUAAUGCAAUGGGUAGGAGAGCGUUGUAUAUGGGGUGAAGCAGCAGCGGAAGCGGCUGUGGACUGUAUAGAAGUGAGAAUGCCGGAAUGAGUAGCGCGAUUUAUGUGAGAAUCAUAAAGGCCGAAAACCUAAGGUUUUUGGAGGAAGGUUCGUCCGCUCCAAGUUAGCCGGGAGCUAAGGUGAGGCUGAAAAGCGUAGCCGAUGCACAUACGGUAGAGAUUCCGUAGCUAACGAAAUUUAAGCGUGGGGACACUUUCGAAGGUUGUAUGCCGGUGGAUGGAAAGCCGGUCGAAAGGGAGACGAGUGAGUCGAAGAUACAAUUGGAGAGAGGCGAGAAAAGCCACGAGGGAUAAUAAGUUACCCGUACCGCAAACCGACACAGGUAGGUAGGAAGAGGAUUCUAAGGCCAACGGGAGAAGGGUUGUUAAGGAACUCGGCAAAAUGUCCCCGUAACUUCGGGAGAAGGGGAGCUGCAGAGAUGCAGUCGCAGAGAAGAGGUCCAGGCAACUGUUUAGCAAAAACACAGGUCUGUGCUAAAUCGAAAGAUGACGUAUACGGGCUGACGCCUGCCCGGUGCCGGAAGGUUAAGAGGAAAUGUGAGAGCAUUGAAUCGAAGCCCCGGUAAACGGCGGCCGUAACUAUAACGGUCCUAAGGUAGCGAAAUUCCUUGUCAGGUAAGUUCUGACCCGCACGAAAGGCGUAAUGAUCUGGACGCUGUCUCGACAGCCCGCCCGGCGAAAUUGUAGUACCGGUGAAGAUGCCGGUUACCCGCGACAAGACGGAAAGACCCCAUGGAGCUUUACUGUAGUCUAAUAUUGGGUUUCGAUAUUACAUGUACAGGAUAGGUAGGAGACAGGGAAGUUAGUGCGUCAGCAUUAAUGGAGUCGAUGUUGGGAUACUACUCUUGUGAUAUUGGAAUUCUAACCUGCGGCUUUGAAGCAAGUCGGGGGACAUUGUUAGAUGGGCAGUUUGACUGGGGCGGUCGCCUCCGAAAGAGUAACGGAGGCGUUCAAAGGUUAGCUCAGGAUGGACGGAAACCAUCUAAAAGAGUGCAAACGCAGAAGCUAGCCUGACUGUGAGACUGACAGGUCGAACAGAGACGAAAGUCGGAGUUAGUGAUCCGGUGGUAUGUGAGUGGAAAUGCCAUCGCUCAACGGAUAAAAGUUACCCUGGGGAUAACAGGCUGAUCUCCCCCAAGAGUUCACAUCGACGGGGAGGUUUGGCACCUCGAUGUCGGCUCAUCGCAUCCUGGGGCUGAAUUCGGUCCCAAGGGUUUGGCUGUUCGCCAAUUAAAGCGGUACGCGAGCUGGGUUCAGAACGUCGUGAGACAGUUCGGUCCCUAUCUGUCGUGGGCGCAGGGUAUUUGACGGGAGCUGUUCCUAGUACGAGAGGACCGGGAUGGACGAACCUCUGGUGCACCAGUUGUCACGCCAGUGGCACAGCUGGGCAGCUAAGUGCGGAGCGGAUAAACGCUGAAAGCAUCUAAGCGUGAAACCGACCCGGAGAUAAGAUACCCCAUGCGAAAGCAGUAAGACCCCUUGAAGACUACAAGGUUGAUAGGCAGCAAGUGUAAGUGUUGU